RNAcentral lists this ribosomal RNA (427 nucleotides) under uncultured bacterium. Its description in RNAcentral is "bacterial SSU rRNA". It matches the Rfam family "Bacterial small subunit ribosomal RNA", at positions 354 to 796 of the family's 1533-position model. The record is from RNAcentral.
GUGAGGAAUUUUCCGCAAUGGGCGCAAGCCUGACGGAGCAACGCCGCGUGCAGGAUGAAGGUCUUCGGAUCGUAAACUGCUUUUCCCAGGGAAGAGAACGGACGGUACCUGGGGAAUCAGCCUCGGCUAACUACGUGCCAGCAGCCGCGGUAAGACGUAGGAGGCAAGCGUUAUCCGGAGUUACUGGGCGUAAAGCGCACGCAGGCGGUCCGCCGCGUUUGAGGUCACAGCUCCCAGCUCCACUGGGAGAGCGCCUUGAAGACGGGCGGACUCAGAGGGCCAGAGAGGGACAGAGAAUUCCGGGUGGAGCGGUGAAAUGCGUAGAGAUCCGGAGGAAUACCGAAGGCGAAGGCCCUGUCCUGGCUGGCUCCUGACGCUAAUGUGCGAAAGCUAGGGGAGCGAACGGGAUUAGAUACCCUAGUAGUCC